AUACUCUGGUUUCUCUCCAGAAUGUACAGACCUUUAGUCUUUUACCAAAGGUGUCUGGAGAUGCAACAAUUGUGAGUAAUUUGAAUUUUGUUAAGGAUUGCUAUGCGGCCUCAUGUGGGCAAUUCU
This 126-nucleotide small nuclear RNA is filed under the name Procavia capensis (Cape rock hyrax). RNAcentral's name for it is "U5 spliceosomal RNA (ENSPCAG00000020348.1)". The stretch from base 1 to 111 matches the Rfam family "U5 spliceosomal RNA". Rfam says of the family: U5 RNA is a component of both types of known spliceosome. The record is from RNAcentral. Lineage: Eukaryota; Metazoa; Chordata; Mammalia; Hyracoidea; Procaviidae.